AGUGAACGCUGGCGGCGUGCUUAACACAUGCAAGUCGAACGAGAACGGGUUAUAGCUUGCUAUAAUUGUCAGCUAAGUGGCGCACGGGUGAGUAAUGUAUAGGUAAUAUGCCUCUUACUAAGGGAUAACAAUUGGAAACGAUUGCUAAUACCUUAUACUCCUUAUUAACUAAAGUUAGUAAGGGAAAGAUUUAUUGGUAAGAGAUUAGCCUGUAUUGUAUCAGUUAGUUGGUGGGGUAAUGGCCUACCAAGACUAUGACGCAUAACUGGUUUGAGAGGAUGAUCAGUCACACUGGAACUGAGACACGGUCCAGACUCCUACGGGAGGCAGCAGUGGGGAAUAUUGCACAAUGGACGAAAGUCUGAUGCAGCAACGCCGCGUGGAGGAUGACACAUUUCGGUGCGUAAACUCCUUUUAUAUGAGAAGAUAAUGACGGUACUAUAUGAAUAAGCACCGGCUAACUCCGUGCCAGCAGCCGCGGUAA
Molecule: ribosomal RNA, 484 nt
Filed under: uncultured bacterium
Lineage: Bacteria
Description: partial 16S ribosomal RNA
Rfam family: Bacterial small subunit ribosomal RNA
Source: RNAcentral